This 74-nucleotide transfer RNA is filed under the name Acidimicrobiales bacterium. RNAcentral's name for it is "tRNA-Val". It matches the Rfam family "tRNA". Rfam says of the family: Transfer RNA (tRNA) molecules are approximately 80 nucleotides in length. Their secondary structure includes four short double-helical elements and three loops (D, anti-codon, and T loops). Further hydrogen bonds mediate the characteristic L-shaped molecular structure. tRNAs have two regions of fundamental functional importance: the anti-codon, which is responsible for specific mRNA codon recognition, and the 3' end, to which the tRNAs corresponding amino acid is attached (by aminoacyl-tRNA synthetases). tRNAs cope with the degeneracy of the genetic code in two manners: having more than one tRNA (with a specific anti-codon) for a particular amino acid; and 'wobble' base-pairing, i.e. permitting non-standard base-pairing at the 3rd anti-codon position. The record is from RNAcentral. Lineage: Bacteria; Bacillati; Actinomycetota; Acidimicrobiia; Acidimicrobiales. RNAcentral also lists the same sequence under 1 other name.
GGGCCGUUGGCGCAGUUCGGUAGCGCGCUUGCUCGACACGCAAGAGGUCACUGGUUCAAGUCCAGUACGGCCCA